GAUUAGUUGUGGACUGUUUUGAAUAAUGUGAUAAAAUCUUAUAUAACUUUGCUGCCAUAGCUGGAGUAAAUAUUCCAUGAUAUUGGUUUAUAUCAUAGUUUCUGGAGACAGGGCUUCUCUGUGUACCCCUGGUUGCCCUGAUACUCAGUAUUUAUACCAGGCUGGCUUUGAACUUGGAGAUCAGCCUGCCUCUGGUUCUCAAGUGCUAGAAUUAAAGGUGUGAACCACCAACACCAAAUAAUGCAAUCAACUUUAACUGCACUAAUGACAAAUACAUAAGUUUAAAGGAGUAAACAUUUUCCAGUAAAUAUUAGUCAGUGUAACCUGAACUGCUAUGUAACCCUAAAAAUACUCAGAUAAGAGAAAUGACAUCACGCUCACUGCUCGCAGCAUUUGUCCCUUUCACUGAACCUUCACGGUACUGGGUAUGAGAACUGGGAGCAACUAUGACACGGUCCCCCACACUAAAAAUAUUUAGGGGAUCAUUUCCUGAACUUAACAUUUUUGCUUCAAAAGUCACUUGUUUCUUGAAACUCACUAGAACUUUGAAGAGCAGCAUAUUCAUUCUGAUAUGUUUUUUGUGUUUUUUGCUUUUGUUUUUUCAAGACAGGGUGUCUCUGUGUAGCCCUGGCUGUCCUGGAAUUCACUCUGUAGACCAAGCUGGCCUCGAACUCAGAAAUCUACCUGUCUCUGGCCCCAAGUGCUGGGAUUAAAGUCAUGUGACACCACUGCCUGGCUUCAUUCUGAUAUAUUAAAGCAAGGAAAAGGAGAUGGUAGGAAAGAAAAAUGUGCGUAUUGUUUCUAAGACAUGCUCUGAAAUUUUGCUGCAUUCAGACCUUCUUAUACACACACACAGAAAUAUUCACCAACAGCAGCAACAGCCUACACACACAUGCUUGCACAAUUGCACGCACACACACACACACACACACACACAUUACUUUAAUAGACUCACAGGUGAACACAUUACACAGUUCCAUCAACAUAGCCACUCAAAAACUUGCCAAGUCCCAAACCCUCGUACCUAGCUAACUUUUACACAGAAUAGCCAUUCUGAAGCCAUGAAGCUUUGCUGAUGGUUUAGCCUUUCAUUGUCAGUCACAUUUUUAUACACUUCUCUGCCACACACACAAAAAAAUUGUGGUAGAGUUGAAACUACAAGCACAAUUCUGCUUUUAAACUUUUCACAACUGACAGCCUGUUACUUACAUUCUGCCCUUCCUCAUCACUUUAUGUUACUCUUCCUUCUUCUCCUAUGUACAUGGUAUUCCAUGCCCACACACACAUCUGCUCACAUUGUACACAAUAGGCUGGGGCUGCAUGUGAGGGAGUACAAUGGGCUUGUUUUCUUUGAACUUGGGUGCCCUUCCUUAAUAUUAUACUUUCUAAGUCCCACCACUUUGGAACAAAUUUCAUUUACAGCUAAAAAAUUCUGGUCUGGACCUGUAAGAUAUUUACAUUGUCUGUUAUUUAGGUCCAUUUACAUGCUAUUAUAGACACUGAGGCAAUAAACAAGGAUGUGCAAGUAUCUCUGUGGUAGGAUGUUGAGUUCUCUUCAUAUAUUCCCGGGAUGGCAUAGUUGGGUCACAUGGCAGGUCUAUUUUUAAGUUUUCUGAGGACCCUCCAAAUGGGCUAUAUCAGCUUGUACUCCUACCAGCAGUAAAUAAGUGUUCCCGAGUCUGCACGUGCUCCUAAGCAAGCUGAGUUUUGCCUACCUAUGCCUCCCAAUUGCUAGGGUUAAAGGCAUAUAUAUACCACCACUCCCCAGCAUGGUUGUCAGAUUUUUUUUUUUUUUUCAAGACAGGGUUUCUCUGUAUAGUCCUGGCUGUCCUGGAACUUACUCUGUAAACCAGGCUGGCCUCAAACUCAGAAAUACCACCUGCCUCUGCCUCCCGAGUGCUGGGAUUAAAGGCAUGUGCUGUCAGAUUUCUUAAGGAUAGCCAACCUGAGUAGAUAUAACAAGAGCCAGUGUGUGUGUGUGUGUGUGUGUGUGUGUGUGUGUGUGUGUGUGUGUGUGUGUAUGUGUGUGUGAUAGAAUUAUAGAAAGUUUAUGAUCAAAAUUUUGGAUUCAAAAACCAGUUGACCCUGCCAUGUUUUGCACGCUGGAAUUUCCUAAUAGUAAAAUCCAGGCAAGUGAGGAGUUUCCUUUCUUUUGUUAGAGAAAAAGAGGAUGUGAAGGAAGAUUAUGGGAAAGGAAGGUAUGUGAUUCUAGGAAUCCAGGACAGUCCUAAGGAGUUGAUGGCCUAGAAAUGAGUUCCUCGCAGGUUAUGGUCACUUUGGUCCUAGCACUCAGAAAGCACAUCCAAGUGGAUUACUGCAGCUCCAGAUAAGUUCAGUCUACACAGUGAGAUAAAGGCCAGGCAGUGGGACACAGCUAGAUUCUGUCUCAAAACACAAAAUACAAAGG
RNAcentral lists this long non-coding RNA (2407 nucleotides) under Mus musculus (house mouse). RNAcentral describes it as "long non-coding RNA chr6:128671353-128673760". The record is from RNAcentral. Lineage: Eukaryota; Metazoa; Chordata; Mammalia; Rodentia; Muridae.